CGCCAGCAGCCGCGGUAAUACGUAGGGGGCGAGCGUUGUCCGGAAUCAUUGGGCGUAAAGCGCGUGUAGGCGGCUUGGUAAGUCUGGUGUGAAACCUUGGGGCUUAACCCCAAGCCUGCACUGGAUACUGCCAAGCUUGAGUCCGGGAGGGGAGAGCGGAAUUCCUAGUGUAGCGGUGAAAUGCGCAGAUAUUAGGAAGAACACCGGUGGCGAAGGCGGCUCUCUGGAACGGUACUGACGCUGAGACGCGAAAGCGUGGGGAGCGAACAGGAUUAGAUACCCUGGUAGUCCACGCCGUAAACGAUGGGCACUAGAUGUGGGCGGUGUCGACUCCGUCCGUGUCGAAGCUAACGCAUUAAGUGCCCCGCCUGGGGAGUACGGCCGCAAGGCUAAAACUCAAAGGAAUUGACGGGGGCCCGCACA
Molecule: ribosomal RNA, 423 nt
Filed under: uncultured bacterium
Lineage: Bacteria
Description: bacterial SSU rRNA
Rfam family: Bacterial small subunit ribosomal RNA
Source: RNAcentral